RNAcentral lists this non-coding RNA (21 nucleotides) under Caenorhabditis elegans. The record is from RNAcentral. Lineage: Eukaryota; Metazoa; Nematoda; Chromadorea; Rhabditida; Rhabditidae.
UGGUGUCUUUUUUUCAUAAGU